RNAcentral lists this unclassified non-coding RNA (285 nucleotides) under plant metagenome. RNAcentral's name for it is "partial contains small subunit ribosomal RNA, internal transcribed spacer 1, and 5.8S ribosomal RNA". The stretch from base 1 to 54 matches the Rfam family "Eukaryotic small subunit ribosomal RNA", at positions 1778 to 1831 of the family's 1831-position model. The record is from RNAcentral.
GGAAGUAAAGGUCGUAACAAGGUUUCCGUAGGUGAACCUGCGGAAGGAUCAUUAUUGUAUAACCGAGGUGCGAGGGCUGUCGCUGACCCGAAAGGUCGUGCACGCCCGAGUGCCCUCACACACAUCCAUCUCACCCCUAUGUGCACCACCGCGUGGGUCCCCCUUCGGCUUGUUCGGAGGGGGGCUUACGUUUUCACACAAACUUUGUAUGCAGUGUAGAAUGUAUUUUUUGUUUUUGCGAUCACGCAAUCAGUACAACUUUCAACAACGGAUCUCUUGGCUCUC